GCCAACAAAGAGUGAAGCAAAGCAAAAGAAGAAAAAAAAAUGCAAUCAUUGCAGCAGAAGGCGUCGGAAUGGAGUGGGGUUGACCCGAAUGAUGCAUUCGCCAUUGAUGAAACCAAUCUCUUUGAAAAACUUGGUCUUCAGGCUUUCAUCAAUCUCUCUACCAAUUUCUACAACAGGGUGUAUGAUGAUGAGGAAGAGUGGUUUCGAUCAAUUUUCUCUAAUUCAAGUAAAGAAGAUGCCAUUAGGAAUCAAUAUGAAUUCUUUGUACAGAGAAUGGGAGGGCCUCCUUUGUACUCGGAGCGAAAAGGUCAUCCAGCAUUAAUUGGACGCCAUCGCCCAUUUCCAGUCACUCAUAAGGCUGCUGAUAGAUGGCUACAACAUAUGCAACAAGCACUAGACAGCGUUACAGACAUUGAUGAAGACUCCAAAACUAAAAUGAUGAACUUUUUCAGGCA
RNAcentral lists this unclassified non-coding RNA (455 nucleotides) under Hevea brasiliensis (rubber tree). Lineage: Eukaryota; Viridiplantae; Streptophyta; Magnoliopsida; Malpighiales; Euphorbiaceae. The record is from RNAcentral.